CUUGUCUCUCAGGUCCUUGUCUCUCAGGUCCUUGUCUCUGAGGUCCUUGUCUCUCAGGUCCUUGUCUCUGAGGUCCUUGUCUCUCAGGUCCUUGUCUCUCAGGUCCAGCUCUCUCAGGUCCUUGUCUCUCAGGUCCUUGUCUCUCAGGUCCUUGUCUCUCAGGUCCUUGUCUCUCAGGUGUGAAGAGUUUGAAAUACACGUAACAAACUAAUUAUACAAGUAACAAUCUUCUUGACAUCAUUGAAGAUGUAGUUAUUUUACAGUUUUUGGGUUCUGUUCCCUGAGCUAAACUCAGAAGAAAAAAAAUGUAGAGCCAUGUUCGGUUCACUUUAUUUGUGGCAGUUUUUACCCCGUAUCCAUGUUGUGCCAUUUUUUUACAGCCUGGUACUGGGUUACCUUCAAAACAACACCCCUGAAGCUCAAACGCUUUGGCCUGGAAUGUCAGUUUUAUGAGAAGACCUCUUCGAAAUGAGCCUUUCCGUAUCAGAGAGUUCAGACGACUGCAGUAAAGCUUGUAGAGAUCACAGAGCGAAACAAAUGACACCAUCGUGUUCGGGAGUCUCAUCAAACAUAUUCGUUUUGUAGAUCGAACUGUUCAGGUUCUCCAGACAAUUUUGUGAAGAUGUUCUUGUCUGGAUCCUCUCAUGUGUAGAAAAACAACCCCCCCAUGUUAUGGAAUAGGCAUAAACUUCAUUUUGGCGGAAAGAGGGGAUUGGGCUGCAGCAAUGACAUGGCACGAUAAAUCUCUAGCAUAAACACAUGGAGAGCUAUUGAAUACACGCAGGCCAACAGCUUGUAUGUUUUACAGCAUUGAUUUUAAUAAACUGUAGUUGAACAGAGGUUUAGAUAUCAUACACAACCAAUUUUAACACACUGGUGCACUGGGGAGAGGAGUUGAACUCAACGCAUCGCAUUUCCCAGGUAGCUACUGCGGUGACACGUGAAGUACUACAGUACCCAGAAGACACUGUUACAGAGGAAGUGACAUCAUCCCCACAGAGUCAUGUGACGGGAAGUUGAUCCGCGUAUAUGUACACUGACUUGUAUUGUUAUUGUUCAGAUGUAGAUAAAUAUAUUGUUGAACUUUUCAAAUAAAUAAAAUGGUAUUAUUUACAUAGCAUACAAAUAAGACCCUGUCACCAAACCAUGUUCUGUUAAAGGUCCUGAACAGUCAAAAUUGUUUUUUUCUUCAUGAAGUUUCAUGAUAUUUGGUUGAAACCAGAUCAAAGUAGGAAGACCAAUGUAUGAUAAAUGACUGUUGCUUCUACAUUGAUCAAGUUGGAUCAUAAAGUUACUGAUACCCCUCCCCCACUUGUCAAACACUUGGACUCAGGAGGAGGUCACAAAAAUAAACUCUUAUUUUAAUACACCAAAGGCCAUGUCGUUACAUUAACGUUGCAAACUUCUUGACAUAGUCAUGAUAUAUGACCAUUGUCUGGCAGUCAACAUAUAUAAAAUGCAUGACGUUUACCCAGACUCCACCCUGUCGUUUCAAAUCAAAUUGUCCAAGAUAGCUAUAUAAAAUGGUGCUGACAAUAAAUAAAUAAAUAUAUAUAUAUUUCUGAAACCAUGAUGUGAUGUCUGAAAGGAAUGGAAGUUGCACGCAAUUUGCUUGAGAUAAUGUCACUGCAACAUGGCAACACUGCGUCCAUGUUGCUUGACAUGGCCGUUUCCAAAGAACCGUCAGGUGAUCUCCCCGCACAAUCUGUCUUUUCAGACUUCCUGGUAGUUUGACAUAAAAUAAAAAAAUACUUUUACAUUUUUUUUUAACAUUCAGAGCAUUUCUAGAGGAGAAAAAAAUAAUAAUUAUGGGUGAUGUUUUGGUCACUCAAAAGGCUACUUUACAUGGGAAUCAGAAUGACUGUUCAGGACCUCUGAGUUAGUUAGUCCAGGGGUGCAUCCCAAAUGGCACCCUAUUCCCUAUGCAGUGCACUACUUUAACCAGAACCCUAUUCCCUAUGUAGUGCACUACUUUAACCAGAGCCCUAUUCCCGAUGUAGUGCACUACUUUAAACGGGGCCCAAUUCCCUAUGAAGUGCACUACUUUAACCAGAGUCCUAUUCCCGAUGUAGUGCACAACAUUUAGCCAGAGCCCUAUUCCCUAAGUAGUGCACUACUUUAACCAGGGCCCUAUUCCCUAUGUAGUGCACAACCUUUAGCCAGAGCCCUAUUCCCUAUGUAGUGCACUACUUUAACCAGAGCCCUAUUCCCUAUGUAGUGCACAAUCUUUAACCAGAGCCCUAUUCCCUAUGUAGUGCACUACUUUAACCAGAGCCCUAUUCCCUAUGUAGUGCACAACAUUUAGCCAGAGCCCUAUUCCCUAAGUAGUGCACUACUUUAACCAGGGCCCUAUUCCCUAUGUAGUGCACAACCUUUAGCCAGAGCCCUAUUCCCUAUGUAGUGCACUACUUUAACCAGGGCCCUAUUCCCUAUGUAGUGCACAAUCUUUAGCCAGAGCCCUAUUCCCUAUGUAGUGCACUACUUUAACCAGGGCCCUAUUCCCUAUGUAGUGCACAACCUGUAGCCAGAGCCCUAUGGGUGCCAUUUGGGAGGCACAUAUUAGACAGGGAACGGAGAAACAAUCUAUAGAGAAGACAGGGAACAGAGAAACAAUGUUACAGAUAUAUAUUACAUCUAAUAGAGAAGACAGGGAACAGAGAAACAA
Long non-coding RNA from Oncorhynchus tshawytscha (Chinook salmon), 2665 nucleotides. The record is from Ensembl. NCBI's taxonomy places the organism in Eukaryota, Metazoa, Chordata, Actinopteri, Salmoniformes, Salmonidae.